CAGCAGCCGCGGUAAUACGUAGGGUGCAAGCGUUAAUCGGAAUUACUGGGCGUAAAGCGUGCGCAGGCGGUUAUAUAAGACAGAUGUGAAAUCCCCGGGCUCAACCUGGGAACUGCAUUUGUGACUGUAUAGCUAGAGUACGGCAGAGGGGGAUGGAAUUCCGCGUGUAGCAGUGAAAUGCGUAGAUAUGCGGAGGAACACCGAUGGCGAAGGCAAUCCCCUGGGCCUGUACUGACGCUCAUGCACGAAAGCGUGGGGAGCAAACAGGAUUAGAGACCCCAGUAGUCCCUGUCUCUUAUAA
RNAcentral lists this ribosomal RNA (301 nucleotides) under uncultured bacterium. RNAcentral's name for it is "partial 16S ribosomal RNA". It matches the Rfam family "Bacterial small subunit ribosomal RNA", at positions 509 to 809 of the family's 1533-position model. The record is from RNAcentral.